This 95-nucleotide transfer RNA is filed under the name Schizophyllum commune. Its description in RNAcentral is "tRNA-Gln". It matches the Rfam family "tRNA". Rfam says of the family: Transfer RNA (tRNA) molecules are approximately 80 nucleotides in length. Their secondary structure includes four short double-helical elements and three loops (D, anti-codon, and T loops). Further hydrogen bonds mediate the characteristic L-shaped molecular structure. tRNAs have two regions of fundamental functional importance: the anti-codon, which is responsible for specific mRNA codon recognition, and the 3' end, to which the tRNAs corresponding amino acid is attached (by aminoacyl-tRNA synthetases). tRNAs cope with the degeneracy of the genetic code in two manners: having more than one tRNA (with a specific anti-codon) for a particular amino acid; and 'wobble' base-pairing, i.e. permitting non-standard base-pairing at the 3rd anti-codon position. RNAcentral also lists the same sequence under 2 other names. The record is from RNAcentral. Lineage: Eukaryota; Fungi; Basidiomycota; Agaricomycetes; Agaricales; Schizophyllaceae.
GGUCUAGUAGUGUAGCGGUUAUCACCCGGGAUUCUGAUUAGUAAGCCUGCUUGCGUAAGCUUCCCGUAACCCAGGUUCGAUUCCUGGCUUGACCU